Molecule: RNA transcript, 1199 nt
Organism: Argentina anserina (silverweed cinquefoil)
Lineage: Eukaryota; Viridiplantae; Streptophyta; Magnoliopsida; Rosales; Rosaceae
Gene name: delta(7)-sterol-C5(6)-desaturase-like
Exons: 5
Source: RefSeq, a predicted model, not a curated record
UCCCAUCCCACCUUUCUCUCCCUCCUCGAAAUCACCGCCCCGCCCUUCGCCGGCGGCCAUGGAGUCAUCGUCGUACCUGAACCUGUUCGUGGAGGAGACCAGCUUCUACAACCGCAUUGUCCUCAACAGCCUCCUGCCCAACUGGAUGUGGGCCCCGCUGCCGCCCUUCUACCAGUCGUGGCUGCGCAACUACCUCGGCGGCACCAUCCUCUACCUCAUCUCCGGCUUCCUCUGGUGCUUCUACAUUUACUACCUCAAACGCAAUGUCUAUCUCCCCAAAGAUGCCAUUCCCUCUAAUAAAGCCAUGCUUUUGCAAAUAUAUGUUGCCAUGAAGGCCAUGCCGUGGUAUUGUGCUCUUCCGUCUAUCUCUGAGUACAUGGUUGAAAAUGGCUGGUCGAGGUGCUUCUCAAGAAUAAGUGAUGUAGGUUGGGUUGCCUACUUCAUCUACUUGGCGAUUUAUCUUAUAAUUGUGGAGUUCGGGAUCUAUUGGAUGCAUAGGGAGUUGCAUGACAUAAAGCCGCUGUACAAAUGGCUUCAUAAUAUACAUCACAUCUAUAACAAGCAGAAUACCCUCUCUCCAUUUGCUGGUUUAGCUUUCCAUCCACUUGAUGGGAUACUGCAGGCAGUUCCGCAUGUUAUAGCUCUCUUUCUUGUGCCAAUGCAUUUGACUACUCACGUAGUGCUCCUAUUUAUUGAAGCCAUAUGGACAGCAAAUAUUCAUGAUUGCAUCCAUGCCAAUAUAUGGCCUGUGAUGGGUGCUGGCUACCACACAAUUCAUCAUACUACCUAUCGCCACAAUUAUGGCCAUUAUACGAUAUGGAUGGACUGGAUGUUUGGAACGCUUCGCGACCCUAUCACUGAGGAGUCAAAGGUCUUAUGAAGCACGCUUACCUUCCUGAGCACUGAGUUUCCCAUUGAUUUUAAAUGUGAAAUAUCGGGAUUUUUGAGGUCCAUAAGAAUGCUUCAGUAAGGAUAUGCAGAUGGUCUUGACAUUUUUUUUUCUGUGAAGCUUGACAGACUGAGAGUAGGUGAGGUGCAUUGUGGUGUUGGGCACUGCCCAGAAUUGCUCGGUAAAUUGAUGUGUCAUCUCCCACAUUUGUCACAACCCUGCUAAAGUUUUUGGUCCUCAAAAUGUCAGUUUUGUUGAAGAUGGCCAUGAUUGAGGGAUGGUUCAGUUUGGCGGGCGAUUGUCUGCAAGU